This 1414-nucleotide ribosomal RNA is filed under the name metagenome. Its description in RNAcentral is "bacterial SSU rRNA". It matches the Rfam family "Bacterial small subunit ribosomal RNA". The record is from RNAcentral.
AGAGUUUGAUCCUGGCUCAGGACGAACGCUGGCGGCGUGCCUAAUACAUGCAAGUCGAGCGGACAGAUGGGAGCUUGCUCCCUGAUGUUAGCGGCGGACGGGUGAGUAACACGUGGGUAACCUGCCUGUAAGACUGGGAUAACUCCGGGAAACCGGGGCUAAUACCGGAUGGUUGUUUGAACCGCAUGGUUCAAACAUAAAAGGUGGCUUCGGCUACCACUUACAGAUGGACCCGCGGCGCAUUAGCUAGUUGGUGAGGUAACGGCUCACCAAGGCAACGAUGCGUAGCCGACCUGAGAGGGUGAUCGGCCACACUGGGACUGAGACACGGCCCAGGCUCCUACGGGAGGCAGCAGUAGGGAAUCUUCCGCAAUGGACGAAAGUCUGACGGAGCAACGCCGCGUGAGUGAUGAAGGUUUUCGGAUCGUAAAGCUCUGUUGUUAGGGAAGAACAAGUACCGUUCGAAUAGGGCGGUACCUUGACGGUACCUAACCAGAAAGCCACGGCUAACUACGUGCCAGCAGCCGCGGUAAUACGUAGGUGGCAAGCGUUGUCCGGAAUUAUUGGGCGUAAAGGGCUCGCAGGCGGUUUUCUUAAGUCUGAUGUGAAAGCCCCCGGCUCAACCGGGGAGGGUCAUUGGAAACUGGGGAACUUGAGUGCAGAAGAGGAGAGUGGAAUUCCACGUGUAGCGGUGAAAUGCGUAGAGAUGUGGAGGAACACCAGUGGCGAAGGCGACUCUCUGGUCUGUAACUGACGCUGAGGAGCGAAAGCGUGGGGAGCGAACAGGAUUAGAUACCCUGGUAGUCCACGCCGUAAACGAUGAGUGCUAAGUGUUAGGGGGUUUCCGCCCCUUAGUGCUGCAGCUAACGCAUUAAGCACUCCGCCUGGGGAGUACGGUCGCAAGACUGAAACUCAAAGGAAUUGACGGGGGCCCGCACAAGCGGUGGAGCAUGUGGUUUAAUUCGAAGCAACGCGAAGAACCUUACCAGGUCUUGACAUCCUCUGACAAUCCUAGAGAUAGGACGUCCCCUUCGGGGGCAGAGUGACAGGUGGUGCAUGGUUGUCGUCAGCUCGUGUCGUGAGAUGUUGGGUUAAGUCCCGCAACGAGCGCAACCCUUGAUCUUAGUUGCCAGCAUUCAGUUGGGCACUCUAAGGUGACUGCCGGUGACAAACCGGAGGAAGGUGGGGAUGACGUCAAAUCAUCAUGCCCCUUAUGACCUGGGCUACACACGUGCUACAAUGGACAGAACAAAGGGCAGCGAAACCGCGAGGUUAAGCCAAUCCCACAAAUCUGUUCUCAGUUCGGAUCGCAGUCUGCAACUCGACUGCGUGAAGCUGGAAUCGCUAGUAAUCGCGAAUCAGCAUGCCGCGGUGAAUACGUUCCCGGGCCUUGUACACACCGCCCGUCACACCU